This 68-nucleotide transfer RNA is filed under the name Candidatus Aquiluna sp. XM-24bin5. RNAcentral describes it as "tRNA-OTHER". It matches the Rfam family "tRNA". From Rfam's summary of the family: Transfer RNA (tRNA) molecules are approximately 80 nucleotides in length. Their secondary structure includes four short double-helical elements and three loops (D, anti-codon, and T loops). The record is from RNAcentral. Lineage: Bacteria; Bacillati; Actinomycetota; Actinomycetes; Micrococcales; Microbacteriaceae.
GGCGACUUGGGGCAUGAAGGCCCGCUCUUGUAAAGCGGGGGUUACGGGUUCGAGUCCCGUAGUCGGCU